Molecule: unclassified non-coding RNA, 263 nt
Filed under: Xylariales sp.
Lineage: Eukaryota; Fungi; Ascomycota; Sordariomycetes; Xylariales
Description: partial contains 5.8S ribosomal RNA, internal transcribed spacer 2, and large subunit ribosomal RNA
Source: RNAcentral
CGCACAUUGCGCCCAUUAGUAUUCUGAUGGGCAUGCCUGUUCGAGCGUCAUUUCAACCCUCAAGCCCUAGCUGCUUGGUGUUGGGCACCUGCGGGCCUCGCCCGCAGGCCCCGAAAGACAGUGGCGGGCGCGCCGCGACCCCGAGCGUAGUAGUUACAUAUCUCGCUUAGGGCGUCCGGUGCUGUCCCGGCCGUUAAAAACGUCUCCCCGGAGACACUCACAAGGUUGACCUCGGAUCAGGUAGGAAUACCCGCUGAACUUAA